This 459-nucleotide ribosomal RNA is filed under the name uncultured bacterium. RNAcentral describes it as "partial 16S ribosomal RNA". It matches the Rfam family "Bacterial small subunit ribosomal RNA", at positions 338 to 795 of the family's 1533-position model. The record is from RNAcentral.
CCUACGGGUGACAGCAGUGAGGAAUAUUGGUCAAUGGCCGGAAGGCUGAACCAGCCAAGCCGCGUGAAGGACGAAGGUGCCAAGCAUUGUAAACUUCUUUUGUCAAGGGACAAAAUCAGGCUCGAGAGCCUGACCGAGGGUACUUGAAAAAAAAGCAUCGGCUAACUCCGUGCCAGCAGCCGCGGUAAUACGGAGGAUGCGAGCGUUAUCCGGAUUUAUUGGGUUUAAAGGGUGCGUAGGCGGGCUGUUAAGUCAGCGGUAAAAGCCCGGGGCUCAACCCCGGCUAGCCGUUGAAACUGGCUGUCUUGAGAUGUCGAGAGGUAUGCGGAAUGCGCAGUGUAGCGGUGAAAUGCUUAGAUAUUGCGCAGAACUCCGAGUGCGAAGGCAGCAUACUGGCGGCGAUCUGACGCUGAGGCACGAAAGCGUGGGUAUCGAACAGGAUUAGAUACCCUUGUAGUC